Molecule: ribosomal RNA, 253 nt
Filed under: uncultured bacterium
Lineage: Bacteria
Description: partial 16S ribosomal RNA
Rfam family: Bacterial small subunit ribosomal RNA
Source: RNAcentral
UACAUGUGGGGCAAGCGUUGUUCGGAAUUACUGGGCAUAAAGGGUGCGUAGGCGGUUUGUUAAGUCAGGGGUGAAAGUUUUCGGCCCAACCGGAAAAUGGCCUUUGAUACUGGCGAACUCGAGUGCGUGAGGGGUAACCGGAACGAGUGGUGUAGCGGUGAAAUGCGUAGAUAUCACUCGGAAGGCCAAAGGCGAAGGCAGGUUACUGGUACGCAACUGACGCUGAGGCAUGAAAGCGUGGGGAGCAAACAGG